Molecule: ribosomal RNA, 781 nt
Filed under: uncultured Bacteroidota bacterium
Lineage: Bacteria; Pseudomonadati; Bacteroidota
Description: bacterial SSU rRNA
Rfam family: Bacterial small subunit ribosomal RNA
Source: RNAcentral
CAUGCAAGUCGAACGGUAACAGGAAUUAGCUUGCUAAUUUGCUGACGAGUGGCGCACGGGUGCGUAACGCGUAUACAAUCUACCUUUUGCUGAGGGAUAGCCCAGAGAAAUUUGGAUUAAUACCUCAUGGUAUUAUUGAUAGGCAUCUAUUAAUAAUUAAAGGUUACGGCAAAAGAUGAGUAUGCGUCCCAUUAGCUAGUUGGCGAGGUAACGGCUCACCAAGGCAACGAUGGGUAGGGGUCCUGAGAGGGAGAUCCCCCACACUGGUACUGAGACACGGACCAGACUCCUACGGGAGGCAGCAGUGAGGAAUAUUGGACAAUGGGCGAGAGCCUGAUCCAGCCAUGCCGCGUGCAGGAAGACUGCCCUAUGGGUUGUAAACUGCUUUUAUACAGGAAGAAUAAGCCUUACGUGUAAGGUGAUGACGGUACUGUAAGAAUAAGGACCGGCUAACUCCGUGCCAGCAGCCGCGGUAAUACGGAGGGUCCGAGCGUUAUCCGGAAUUAUUGGGUUUAAAGGGUCCGUAGGCGGAUGAUUAAGUCAGGGGUGAAAGUUUGCAGCUCAACUGUAAAAUUGCCUUUGAUACUGGUUAUCUUGAGUUGUAUUGAAGUAGGCGGAAUAUGUAGUGUAGCGGUGAAAUGCAUAGAUAUUACAUAGAACACCAAUUGCGAAGGCAGCUUACUAAGUACUAACUGACGCUGAUGGACGAAAGCGUGGGUAGCGAACAGGAUUAGAUACCCUGGUAGUCCACGCCGUAAACGAUGGAUACUAGCUGUUCGGG